CAGUCAUUUCAGCUAGUCUAUGAAUCAAUAUCCUUUUGAGAUGAGAAGAGAAUUUAUCCCUGUCUCAAAAAUCAACCAAACAAGCAAAGAAACAGCCAGAUAGCUCCCCCAGGAUUUCAAUAGAAAAUAGAUUUCUACUAGAAAAUAGUAGAAACAGGGCUUUUUCUCAAGUCUACCACUUAAGCCUUUUCCUUAGCCUCUACUUCCCAGUAGAAACUUCUAAAAUCAUUAGAAAUGGGGAUGGUAAAAUAUGAGUGACUAGGAAGUAAACAGAGUACCCUGGGAAUCCAUAAGAAGCAAGAAGACAGGCAGAGGUAAUCUACUGUGACAAGCUAUGGGUUUGCUUUGCUCCAUGGCUUUCAGCACAUACUCACAAAAUACAUACCUGUUAUUGAGUUUUUAUUAUUCUGUUCCCACUAGGAGUCUAAAUGUCCUGAAGCUACAUUACUUAGCAACCUGACAGAUGUCAACAUUGUUUGUUUCCUUGAGAUAAUUUAAGACCCAGUGGACUCUAAUUGUGAGCAUGGCAGAAGCAGAUAGUUGAUACAAAUGAAUGCAGUUGAACAACACUGUGGUGCCUCUACAUAGCAAUAUAAUAUUGUGUCCCUCAGAGCUUAAGAGGCUAGAUCUUGCGUGAAGUUUCUUACCAUGCACAAACUACAAAACCAUCUAAAAACACAGGGGUAUGAGGCUAUGUCUACUGACUUGAUUUUAUUGAUGGUAUUGAGAAGGUUAUGUAUGUUCAUACUCAUAUAAUUAUGUUAAAUGUACACAGUAUUUUACACGUCAAUAAAACCUAGAUAAACUUGCUUAAGAAGUGAAAGACUACAACUAGUUUCCAUGUACCAAAUGGUGAUUUUCUGGAAAAUCAUCUCAGCCUCACUGGAACCUUUGGCACAGGGUAUGCCUCUGCAGAAGACAGCACUGGCAGGACCCCUUAUUGGUGACACCAAGCUUCUCAUCUCUCUGCAUGGAGUUUAGAUUUUUGCAAAAGCUUACAUGACUGUGAAUGAGACAGCAUGGCUUUCAGAAAUGUCCCUCUGUAUUAUAGUCCCCAAGUGGAAGGGUUUCUCUGAGUGGGAGAAUUGUUUGGUACUGCCACAUACUAACAGUUUUUUCUCAAUCAUCUUUAAUCUUUUGGUAAGGGUUAUUCAUAAUUGUGCAACACUGAACAAUAAACAGGUUCUGACAGAUUUCUGGUAGCAACAAACAAAAAUCCAAAAGUAGUGAAACUAGUUCUUAAGAAGGUAUGCUUACCUUUCUUGAUUUGUGAAUCGAAGACCUUGGGUGCCAUUCCUGUGGCUCUAAGUUUUCCAGAUUUAUAAAUUUACUGCUGUUUAGGAAGUUUAAGUGUAAUUAGAGACUUGGCCAUCCAAACUAUACAGCUCACUUAGUAAAUUAAAUAGGACUUUCAGGCUCAGCGAAUAUUUUCUAUCACAUCCUGGAGAAAGAGAAACUCAUAUCUCAAUUAAGAUAAGACCCUCUCCCAUUACAUGGAUAUGCUACUGAAAAACUCUGAGAGUGAGCAGAAAUGGAUUCAUUCCAAUGAUGUCUCCAACAUCUACUGCUGCAUCUGCCAUCAAGCUGAAUGCUGUCAAUGCAACAAAGACCUAGUUCUACCACAGAGACCUCAUGAAUUGGCAGAACAUGGCAGUACACAGAUGGCUACUGACAUGCAGACAAAUACAUGUUAAAGGGAGAGACCUUCAAAUGAUGAUACAAGAAUUUCCUCAGAGAGGUUUCCCAAACAAGAACUAAGUAAAACUAAAGGAGUGAGAACAUAAAAACAAUGGGGAGAUUUUUAUUUUAGAAGAGCUUCCUGCUUGCAGGAAAAAGUGCAAGGUUCCAUACAUGGGAAUUCUAACAUUUCCCUGUUACCAUGCUUUCUCACUUGUGAUAGAACUUGUGUUUCAGCCCAGAGUGGUAGCCAUGCUCUCUCCCUGAUGGCUGUACUCUAGGACUACAGCUUCCAGGAGAACACAGCUAUCUCAGAGCUUCCCCUCCAGCUACAGAGCAUGGGAAUGGCACAGCCUGGAAGUCUGACUUUAACUAUUCAACAUUGCCACUAGAUGGAAAUUCCGCUCUUAAAGUAGAUUGAAUUAGAAAGUCUGAGUAUGGAACAGAAGACCUGGCAUUGAGCCAAGACUAAGCAAUGGAGUUCAAGUAAAGAAGACAUAUUCUGAAGGAAGACAGCCACACCUCACUCUGCAGCAUGGUAUAAGUUUGCUAGGUAAGAACAGCAAGGUAGGAACAGGGUUCUGCGUAGAGAACGGAGCUUGUUUUAUACGUGGAGCCAGGUGUGUGGGUGGUCAGUACAUUCGCCAUGCACUCUGGAGAGAAGGGUACUGGGAGGAUAAAAGCCAACAGGACUGAAAGGCUGGGGAAGCUGUGCAAGGCUGGUGGUGGGUUUGUUAAGCACAGAAGUAAUAUGAGUUUUAGUGCUCUCAUCUAGAAUGAGCCUAACACCAAUCAAGCCGGAGGUAGUGAGACACGUGAUCAGUGGAGUGAUGAUCCUUGUAGAAUUUGACAGUUAGGGUCAGAGAUCUUUCAUAUGCAAAUAUGACCAGUUCCUUACACACACAGCUCAACCAGAUGUUUAAUAUUUAAUCACUACAUUCAAAUGCAAGGGGCAUUACUUCAAAGCUUCAAAGCAUAAGUACUUUUCUCCUUAGGAACUAUAAUUCAUUCAUUGUCCCAAAAGUUAAAGGUGUCAAGAUGGCUAUCAUUAUCCAUACAUGACGAUCACUUCAGUUAAACUUACUUCCACUGUAAAAUCUACCAGUCAAGUUACAAAGUUGUAUUGUGUAUACCUAAGCCACACACAAGACCUAAACAAAAAACGUUCUCUGGAUUUCAUUUGUUUAGUUCACUUUUUCUGUCUAUAAAUUUUGAAAUUGUGAAGCAUGAUUUUGAAAAUACAAAGUAUUAUUUUAAAAGUGAUCAUCCUAAAGCUAGUCAGAUAUCAAUUACAAUCUGCAUGGACCAUGGCAUUGAACCUAAUGAUCCUCCCCUCAGGAUGCAGGAGCAAUACAUUUGCAGAAAUGAAUUAGACACCAAGGGGCAUCAAACCGCCAGAUGGAUAAUUUGAUUCAUAUUAACUGACUAUUUCUGGUGUUUCAAAAAAUAACUGUCCUACCCAGAGGAGGACAAAGUUCUUUUUGUGAUUAACCUAUCGCUAUUCUACUGAAAUUACAGCAGGUGGAGAAAGAAGAUAUGCUAUCCGAAUCAAUGCACUAUCAUCUCCUGACUUAUGCUUGUUCAAUUUAUCAGUAAUGUGUGUCAGUUAAUAAAUAGCAUGCACCUAACUUUAUAGAUUAGAUAAUAAUAAGUUGAACACUUUGUAGAAAGCUCCCAAUCAGAUGAGAGCAUAUUGUGAGACCUGGAGGGUAAUGCCUGAUAGGUUCUGGCUCUUUCUUAGAAGCCAGAAAUUCCUAAUUGUAUCUGUGACCUCAAGCCUCUUGUACUAUCUUGUCAUGUGGAAUCCUGUGAUGCCCAUGCAGAUCUCACGCUAUUUUAAAGCAUUCAAACCUUGUAAAUUUGACUUUCUACUUGCCUCCCAUCUGAAUGCCCUUAUGAGGGGUCUCUUUCUUCAGUCCCAUGCCUUAAGGAAUGUACUUUGAUCAACUGUGUGGCCUUGUGGCAUGGCCUGCAAGAGAAUGUACAUCUGGCUCUCUGACUGAAAAAGCAUACUUAACACCACAAACCUCUUCACGAAAGUGCAUUUGCACAGGAAUGCUCUCAGCAAUAGUGACACUUGGCAAACAGAUGGCUCCUCCUCUGGUAAGGUUUUGGGAAGGAUUUGAUCAGGAACACCAGUGGCACCAGCAGGAGACUUGUCUCCUCUAUCAACAGUUAUCAGAGCUUAAUGAUGUCCCAUCCGCUUUCGACCAGCAAGAAUGACACGACCACCAGUUCUUCUAACAGCAGUUUAUUCAGCAAGCUUCAGUCUUCAUCU
Molecule: long non-coding RNA, 3955 nt
Organism: Mus musculus (house mouse)
Lineage: Eukaryota; Metazoa; Chordata; Mammalia; Rodentia; Muridae
Product: predicted gene, 33182
Exons: 3
Source: RefSeq, a predicted model, not a curated record